Molecule: ribosomal RNA, 512 nt
Filed under: uncultured Glomus
Lineage: Eukaryota; Fungi; Glomeromycota; Glomeromycetes; Glomerales; Glomeraceae
Description: SSU rRNA
Rfam family: Eukaryotic small subunit ribosomal RNA
Source: RNAcentral
AGCAGCCGCGGUAAUUCCAGCUCCAAUAGCGUAUAUUAAAGUUGUUGCAGUUAAAAAGCUCGUAGUUGAAUUUCGGGGUUAGCAGGUUGGUCGUGCCACUGGUAUGAACUGGCCUUGCUGAUUCCUCCCUCUUGAUGAGCCGUAAUGCCAUUAAUUUGGUGUUGCGAGGAAUCAGGACUGUUACUUUGAAAAAAUUAGAGUGUUUAAAGCAGGCAAGCGCUUGAAUACAUUAGCAUGGAAUAAUGAAAUAGGACGUUUGAUCUUAUUUUGUUGGUUUCUAAGAUUGACGUAAUGAUUAAUAGGGAUAGUUGGGGGCAUUAGUAUUCAAUUGUCAGAGGUGAAAUUCUUGGAUUUAUUGAAGACUAACUACUGCGAAAGCAUUUGCCAAGGAUGUUUUCAUUAAUCAAGAACGAAAGUUAGGGGAUCGAAGACGAUCAGAUACCGUCGUAGUCUUAACCAUAAACUAUAGCCGACUAGGGAUCGGAUGAUGUUAAUUUUUUAAUGACUCAUUC